CUUGAUGGGCACUAGUCACUUUAACUUUGUAUCUAUUUGUUGAGCCACUAUUCUUGCUUCCACAGUUUCUUGGGUCCCACAUACUUUCCCACAGUCACCACGUCCUUCUUGCAGCAUUAUCUUAGGAAGUCUCACCUAUUCAUGCAGCCUACUGAUUACCCUCUCUAUCCCCACAUUUAGUCUACCCUAGGGGGCCAACACGUUUAAUAUACCUUACUUCCCCUGGCACAAUUAAGAGCGCCGUUUCAAGUGCUGGGCAACUAUUUCCCCGCUAGGCAUUUAUCAUACAGCUAGGCAAUUAGGUUUUGUUGAUUGUUUUUUCGUUUCUGACAGGUACUCAAUUUUUGCCCUCUUUUAUUACAGGCCUACCACAACGUCGGUUCCGGCACACCUCAACCGACUUAUUUGCCCCUCACACAAAUGUUAAGGCUUGACCU
Molecule: non-coding RNA, 437 nt
Organism: Pelobates cultripes (western spadefoot toad)
Lineage: Eukaryota; Metazoa; Chordata; Amphibia; Anura; Pelobatidae
Source: the annotation of a GenBank genome assembly